AGGGCACCACCAGGAGUGGAGCCUGCGGCUUAAUUUGACUCAACACGGGAAAUCUCACCAGGCCCGGACACCGGAAGGAUUGACAGAUUGAGAGCUCUUUCUUGAUUCGGUGGGUGGUGGUGCAUGGCCGUUCUUAGUUGGUGGAGCGAUUUGUCUGGCUAAUUCCGAUAACGAACGAGACUCUGGCCUACUAACUAGAUGGAGGAUCCCUUCGUGGGUUCUUCACUGCUUCUUAGAGGGACGGGCGGCGUUUAGCCGCACGAGAUUGAGCAAUAACAGGUCUGUGAUGCCCUUAGAUGUUCUGGGCUGCACGCGCGCUACACUGAAGGAAUCAGCGUGUCCUCCCCGCUCUGAAAAGAGUGGGUAACCCGUUGAAACUCCUUCGUGAUGGGGAUUGGAGAUUGUAAUUAUUCUCCAUGAACGAGGAAUUCCCAGUAGGCGCGAGUCAUCAGCUUGCGUCGAUUACGUCCCUGCCCUUUGUACACACCGCCCGUCGCUACUACCGAUCGAGUGAUUGAG
RNAcentral lists this ribosomal RNA (519 nucleotides) under uncultured eukaryote. RNAcentral describes it as "SSU rRNA". It matches the Rfam family "Eukaryotic small subunit ribosomal RNA", at positions 1161 to 1701 of the family's 1831-position model. The record is from RNAcentral.